This 342-nucleotide ribosomal RNA is filed under the name uncultured bacterium. RNAcentral describes it as "bacterial SSU rRNA". It matches the Rfam family "Bacterial small subunit ribosomal RNA", at positions 149 to 507 of the family's 1533-position model. The record is from RNAcentral.
GUUGGAAACGACUGCUAAUACCGCAUAAGCCCACGGGUCGGCAUCGACCAGAGGGAAAAGGAGCAAUCCGCUUUGAGAUGGCCUCGCGUCCGAUUAGCUAGUUGGUGAGGUAACGGCCCACCAAGGCAACGAUCGGUAGCCGGACUGAGAGGUUGAACGGCCACAUUGGGACUGAGACACGGCCCAGACUCCUACGGGAGGCAGCAGUGGGGAAUAUUGCACAAUGGGGGAAACCCUGAUGCAGCGACGCCGCGUGGAGGAAGAAGGUCUUCGGAUUGUAAACUCCUGUUGUUGGGGAAGAUAAUGACGGUACCCAACAAGGAAGUGACGGCUAACUACGUG